UUUAGCUUAACACAUUUACUUUACGAUAAAAUUCAGAAUAAAUCUUAAAGACCCUCUCUCUAUAUAAAAAGUAGGAGAUAAAGUCAACUUGAAUAGCUUGAGGGAGAAAGCUAAAGCCUCAUGCAGCACAUUUCAUAUUUUUUCAUGAAUUGUGAUUGGCAUCCAUUUUGUUUAUGUCUUUUUUAUCGUUUUUUUAAUAAUAAUCCGACUUUGUCUUGCAUGACAAGUUCGAAACUGAAUCGAUCAGAUCAUGGAGAUCGUAACCGAGUCGCUUUGCUCCUUUUCACGUGAGAUUGUCAUAAGUUUAGUUCCCUGUGUAAUAAAGAGGGUCUUCUCAUCCAAAAGGCAAGUCUCAUCCAAAAGGAAAAAAAAAACCAACCUUACCGAUUUAGAAUUUUAGACGAGGGGGCCUUUGGUGGAUAAUACCUAGUGUAUACUCACUCACACGUCGUACCUAGUGUAUCCGUAAUGUAUACACUGGUGGAUACAAUAGUGUUGCCCUACGAUUAUAGAUGUUCAAUAAGCACGAGGCCCGCGAGCCCGGCACGAAGCCCGCUGUUUGGGCCCGGUCUGAGCCCGACACGGCCCGGGCUGGCCCGGCACGAAUAAGCGGACCGGGCUUGGACAGGAAACUAGGCACGGCGGGCUAGCUCGGUACGGCCCGUUUACCUCUAAGCACGUUAAGCCCGCUUUUGGCCCGCUUUUUUCGUGCUAAACGGGUCGACCCGGCCCGUUUAGGCCCGCUGCGGGCUGGGCUUAGACAGAGAAUCAAGCCCGCGGGCUUAGCAGGCUCGGCCCGGUUUUCUAACCGUACCUGGCGGACCGGGUUUCACCAGGCCCGGGCCGGCCCGGACCAGGCGGCCCGUUUGGCCAUCUCUACCUACGAUACGAGUGAGGCCACAAGUGACGGAUCGAGAAAUUACCGAAGCACCAAACUAAAGUUAAUAUGACAAUAGGAUAACAAAAUACAUCAUAGUGCAACAAGGUAUGUCCGGUGGAUUAUACAAUGGUAUGGAUCCAACAAUUAACUACGUCCUGUGCAACGUAUAUACACGGGAUAGAUGAUCGUAGGUAGCCCAACACGUACGUCCGGUCGAAAGGCGAUUCUCUGCCUCUGGUUCUGGCUCAUCCUGCAAGUUUUCCAUGGGCUAGCUUAAUCAUGGGCGGACCAUGGGUCGGAUCCAUCUGUCAACUUCGACUUCCCUGAGCUGUCGCGGGCCCCGGAGGGCUCAAGACGUAUCUGGGCUCGUUUCCCAGGUCAUCAGGCACGCGCACCGCGGGCCGGGAGAGGCCGGAACUGCAUGCACAUCCUUGUUUUUUUUUAUAGCACGUCGCGGUCGCGCACCAGCAACGAUUGAAGAAAACCGCAACGAUUUGUUGCUGGAUUCCACGGCGCUUCCUUCUCUGGAUGGAUCGGGUGCGAAUGUGCCUUGUCGUCCUCGCCGAGAAAUAGAAUGCCUCGACGAAUGGGGGAGCUGCCUGUCGCGGCCACGCCACUCCUUGGUACGUACCGGUACCUGGUAGUAGCAGGCGCUAGCGUCACGCAACCGGAAGUCGAUACUCGUGAGAGCAUCCAACGAAUUCGUCUGUGCACGCGUCGCAUGGCGCCAAAGUGGAGCAGGGCCGAGCCCGAGCGCUUGCGUUUUUUUGUCGGCGGGCAGCGCUCUAGCCGCCUAGCCUCUAGUACAGACAGGCUACAAGUGCUGAAGUGCAGUACACCAGGUCAUGCGUCUGUACUGCGGCCUGCUCGCAAUGCUGUACCCGUCCAAUAGGGCACUAGUACGCUGCCCUGGCUCUUGUCGUCUGUCACCCCCAACGCUCAUGCCAGAUGUCCUCCUAGCUUAGGUUACAUUUGGGUUUGACAAAUUCGCUCCCUGCCUGGAAGUUCUAGAUGCCGUUUCCCUACGGGGCGUUCGCAACAGUCGAUAUCGACAUCGCCGCCGGUUGACUGCAGUUCAAUAAAAAAAGAACGCACUCUCUGGGUUCACUAAGGCUAAAUUAACACACGCACAGUUUCCUCUGCAUUGGUAUUGGUUAUCAGAGAGAAGUGGGGACUUGUAACCAUACGUACGCUCUCCCUUUGAGGCUCUCCGGCUAGCGAUGGUAUUUCUCACCCGUUUUAUUUCCUCACAUAGAGAUGUUAAUGGACCAUGAUAUAAAUAUUUCUUCACAAUAAGUUAUGACACUUAAUUAAUUUUAGUUUAGAACUGACAGAAAUAGAGUCCGGUCCGAAUCCACGACCCGUCCUUAAAACUUUAUAGUGUAAAAUCUAAAAUCCAUUACUACUCCUAUCUCCAAGUCAUUUCGAGCUAGCGAGUGGAUUGUCGAGGAAAGCCCUAAGGUCUAAGCAAGCAUAUCUAUCCUUAUCUCCAUGCUCGCUUUGUGCUUUGAAAGACUAGCAUAAAGAUUUAUGCAUAACCAUUGCAUUCCUCGCUUCCCGCUUUGAAAGGGUAGCAUAAGAUUUACAUAACCAUUUUAUUCUGAAUGUCAACCGGUAUCCCGAUACAUAAAUAAGAUAACUAUACUAAUCGUAAUUGAUUUUCUCUCCAUAAGGGCUGAUUUGGUGACCCGGGAUCACGGAAGAAUUGGAGAGGAUUGAGGGGAAAAUUAGUUCAUUUUCCCCUUAGGGCAUGUUCGUUUGCAAGGGAUUUAUUCCCCAAGUGGACCAAAUCCAAGGAGGGAUUGAGUGGAUCCCUCUCUUUCACUCAAUACCUUUGGGGGUUUAAUCCCUCCCUGGAUUUAAUCCUUCUCUCAAGAAUCCAUUCGGUUAAUCCUUAGCACAUUUGUGUUUGGCCCCGUGUGUAUCUAGUAUACCCGCUUAUUCAAGCAGUACAGCCAGUACAUCCAAAUAAUUUAUUCAAGCAGACUCAACCAUCAUUUCAGAAUUAGAAUCGAAGAAAUUAUCAUCUAGAUUCAGAGCAGACCAAAGCAUAGUUUUUUCAGUGUUCUUCGGACCAAAGCAAAGUUUUUUCAGAGGCAAGUCAGUACAAGCAACUCAAAGCAACAAGUUCAAACAAGUUCAAAUUGUAUGUUGUGCUCAAUGGCGUGAGCAUAGAAAGCAUAUUAAAUAGUCUAGUUUUUUCCCAUGAGGAGGGCACAGUCUGUAUUUCUUCUGCAGGCUCAGCUAAUCCUACUCUCUCAUCUGAAAUAUAUGGAUCAACAGUCUGCACAACAAGAAGUAAAUUUAGUAUAUCAAAUCAUCUAUAUCCUAAUAAGAUUGCUCAUUUGCUGCAACAAUAGUGAGUGGCAAAAGUGUGAUAUCCUGGCCCCUGGGAUGGGAUGUCCUGGCCCAAGGCUUAAUAGAAUUAAUAGUGUAAUCAUACCAACAAGGUGCAUUUUCUUUUUCGGAAGCCUAUCUCGAAAGAACCUCCAAGUUAAGCGUGCUUGGCUUGGAGCAAUUUGGGAUGGGUGACCGACCGGAAAGUUUUCUCGGGUGCGCAUGAGUAAGGACAAAGUGCGCACAAAAGACUCGUAUUGGUCUGUGGGGACAAUAUAUGAUCUUAGAGAGCUGCCAGGAGUAAGUACCGCCGGUCCAGGGAUUGGACGGGGUGUUAUCCUAGAGAGCUGCCAGGAGUAAGUACCGCCGGUCCAGGGAUUGGACGGGGUGUUACAAAAAGGUAGAAUGUAACCUGCAGAAUAUGUUAGUGGCCACUCUCCGAUGAACCCUCCUUUCAACACAGCUCUGUUAUCUAUCAAAAUAGUUAUCAGGUAGUCAAAUGUGAAUUCAGGUCCCCAUGCGUUAGUUAACAGUUAGCAUCGAGUUCCAAAACCGAACAAGAUGGCUGAUAGGUCCCCAUGUUCUGUGAAUUCAGGUCAAAUGUGAGAAACUAGUUUUUGAGAAGGAAGAAGUUGUGGCCGGUCUGGUUGAACUCAUCGUCUUGCAUAAAGUCACUAGGCUAGUAAUUUCAGCUGCUGCAUAUAGGCAAUAUUCAAGGUGAAUCUGACAUAAUUAAAUUCAUUUUCUGCACCAGGAACAGAAAUCAAACAGAAAGAUGGACAGACCCAAGUGUCGGACAGCAACAGAAAUCAAGCAGAGAGCUGAUCCAUCGUGCAAGAUUUGGUUUGUUUGCAAGGAACAACUGAUCUGCACCAGGUAAAGACUGCAGGCAGGCAUUCCUUUAGACAACUGACACUUGGUAUUUGCAGGAAUUGGGAUACGAAGAGAAAAGAGAAGCAUCAGAAGUAGAGGCAGCAGCCAGCCAGAAACCCGGGAAUCUACUGAAGCAACCUGUAGUAGCCGGCGAUCUACUGAAGCAGAUCUACUGAAGGCUGUUGCUGUGUCGUCUGAUCUCCGAUGAGAUGACGAUCUGACUAACUACCAGAACUUGGGUUGUAGUAGAUGAGCAAGCCGUCGCAUCUGCUCGGUCCGGCCGAUGCCGGUUGGCCAUCAUCAUGGUACUGAUUGACUGAAGAAGGAACCAUGAGCCGAUGGAUAGAUCUAUCCGCACGUUAGUCGUACGUGUCGUGUUCCCUGCCCUGCACGCCCGCCCGAUCUUCGCCGCGGUAGGCAGGCAGCAUAGCAGGUCACUGCUCUGCGCACUGUCUCCAUGCCAUUGUCCGCGGGCCAACCUGACGCGCGUUCUGUCAAGAAGGCGGCAGCAGCUUCUGUUUCCGCCGGCUCGCACGGUGCCGAUCAACUCAGAUAGCUAGACCGAUGGAUUCGGGAGCUGGCACCGAAUCUCGCUGGGAUUGAUCUAAGAACUCACCGUCGCCUGAGCAGUUGGAUCUAAGAAGAGACGCAAGAACCCUAAACGCCCUAGUUGAGACAGGGAGCAAGAAGAAUACCGGUGAGAAGCAGCCUCCGGAGGAGAUCGACGCCAGCAGGCGUGAGGAAUCCGGUCUCCGUGCCACAGUUGUCACGCGUAUGCGGCGUGCCCUUUGUGGCUGUUGCCCUAAUCCAUGAGCGGCCUAUUGCCUGCGUGCCUCCGGGAUAUUUCCCACCCCGCAGCGACCGGGCCUAGUUCCAAGGCCUGGGUGACGAGGAAAGGCCGGGAAGUAGCCCAUGUCGGGCUUAACCGAACGCGCAUUUCUG
This 5032-nucleotide long non-coding RNA is filed under the name Zea mays. RNAcentral's name for it is "long non-coding RNA (ZMAY_LNC001197)". Lineage: Eukaryota; Viridiplantae; Streptophyta; Magnoliopsida; Poales; Poaceae. The record is from RNAcentral.